AUACCUGCAGCUCGAGUGGUGACCACUAUUAUUGGGCCUAAAACGUCCGUAGCCGGCUUGGUAAAUGCCUGGGUAAAUCGUAUAGCUUAACUAUACGAAUUCCUGGUAGACUGUCAAGCUUGAGACUGGGAGAAGCUAGAGGUACUCCUGGGGUAGAGGUGAAAUUCUGUAAUCCUAGGGGGACCACCAGUGGCGAAAGCGUCUAGCUAGAACAGGUCUGACGGUGAGGGACGAAGCCCUGGGGCGCGAACCGGAUUAGAUACCCGGGUAGUCCAGGGUGUAAACGCUGCUUGCUUGAUGUUAGUCGGGCUCCGAGCCCGAUUAGUGUCGGAGAGAAGUUGUUAAGCAAGCUGCCUGGGAAGUACGGCCGCAAGGCUGAA
Molecule: ribosomal RNA, 380 nt
Filed under: uncultured bacterium
Lineage: Bacteria
Description: bacterial SSU rRNA
Rfam family: Archaeal small subunit ribosomal RNA
Source: RNAcentral